GCCAGCCGCACAUCAAAGAUGCAGAGCCUUAUAACAAAAAUCGCCACUGAGAAGCUGAGCACCUACGCUGCGGUCAUAUCUAUCUUCACCUACACUAUUUUGCUCAACAGGGAUUUAGCCUGCACCUGCGAACCACAAGCCUCGAACUGCAACCUGUACAUGCUUCUGCCACCCGUUAUCAUUUUUUAAUUAAUACUUUUGUUGGACAGCUCGUUCCAAAGCGUCUGUAGAUACUAUUCCUCACAUUGUAAAUGCCCCUGCGGUCUUUGCUGUUUUUAUGCCCAUCAUUUUUUAAGGGCAUUUUUAGUCGGCUUGCUGUGGGUUGCUUUUUUGUUCCUCGAUGGAGACUGGUAUGUUUGCUGUCAGAAUGACGGCUCUGAACAACAGGCAACGUUAGCCUGCAAAGCUGAGAAGGAUAUCAAAGUCAACGAGAAAGUUCUUAAAUCUGAACUGAAGACAACAUCCCGGUUUAUCGGUGGCUGGAUUCUAUUUGGAAUUAUUUUAGGGGCUUUUGUCUUGCCAUUGUGUGUCAGAUCGAAAUGCUGUGGGGAAAAAAAACAUUCUGCCAACAAAAGAUUUCUGUAUGACAAACUGAUCAUAAUAGAGGAGGGCAAUGUGCUGAAAGAGGUUCUGAGGAAUUCAGCAAAGGAGAAGUUGACUGAAGGAAUCCAGAGCAAAAUCCGUGACAAACGAAGGGAAGAGUGUUUCGAUGUUGCCAGAGAGCUGAUUGAAAAAGACCCGCGAAAAGAGGAGCACCAACCGCUAGGGGCACAAGAACCAGUCCAGUUGAUACGCAUCAUGUCUGUUCCUGCCGGUGCCGACUAGACUGGACGAUCAUUGAGGAGGCACACCUGGAAGAGUUCUGUCUCUCCAUGGAUCAUGAUCUGUUGCUGACUACAGAGCUUAAGUGAAGUCAGCAGCUCCCAGUAUGACUGGAAAAUGUUAUAGAUGCCAUUGCUCCCACCAGGGUAAAGGAAGUGUCUGGCAAGAAAAUAUCUCCAUGCAGAAAGGCCAUGACCUGCUAAAUGCAGGUGGCGAAAAACAAAUCUCCAUUUUGAAAUCUAUAAAGAGACACUUGGCAUUUAUAAUUUGGAAUUGAAAAAUGCAUAAAAGUCUUUCUUCUCUGACAUCAUUGCCAAAAACAAAAACAACGCACGUGCCUUGUUUGCUACCGUUGACAGACUAACUAACCCCCCAGUGUCAGUAGCCUCUGAAUUUAUCCACCAGGGCGUACAAUGAUUUUGCCUCCUUCACUGAAACAUUCAGAAAAUCAGACAAGCAGUCAGUGCCUCUGCAUCAGGAACAGCAUAUGUGUUGUCUCUGUGUUCACUUCAAAUCAAUUCAAACACCAUGACACAAUUCCAUCAUUAAUGAUAAAAACCUAGAGGACAUUAUACAACUUCUGAAAUCCUCCUCCUGCUGCCUUGAUAUUAUUCCAACAGGAUUUUUUUCAAAAAUGUUUUUCAUUGCAUGGCCUCAGAUCUACAUCAAAUAGUAAACAAUAGGGAUGGGAAUCACCAGGCUUACUUUCUUUCAUUGCAAUUGUAUACAUGUCUUAACGUAACUUCCUGUUUUAUAUAGACAUGCUUUUAUUUUGAAGGCGACUUUGCGCUAUUAGCAGGAAGUUACUGUUCCCAAAGCAACAACUUGACGGAGAAAAAGAACGGAGAUAAAGUACAGAUAUUAACGGAGAUAUCAACAUUUAAAUACGGCGGUAUCAAAAGAUAAAGUUUACAUUUAAGUAUCGGGGACCGAAGAGGCACAAGGUUAGUGUUAACUGUAAUGUAAAAAUGUGGUGUGUGUGUGUCUUAAUUCAUUUAUACUGUAUUAUAACUUUGCUAACUAUUUGAAGUUCACUUGUUUAAUGGUAUUCUAAAGUAAUGCUCGGAUGUAGCUUAAAUGUAUUUGUUGUUUUGAGUCUUUGUGUAGCUCUUACGUUGGUUUUUGGAGUUUUCAAUAAAUACAAAAUCAUCAGUCAA
Molecule: long non-coding RNA, 1979 nt
Organism: Gymnodraco acuticeps
Lineage: Eukaryota; Metazoa; Chordata; Actinopteri; Perciformes; Bathydraconidae
Exons: 3
Source: RefSeq, a predicted model, not a curated record